Molecule: ribosomal RNA, 253 nt
Filed under: uncultured bacterium
Lineage: Bacteria
Description: partial 16S ribosomal RNA
Rfam family: Bacterial small subunit ribosomal RNA
Source: RNAcentral
UACGUAGGGUGCAAGCGUUGUCCGGAAUUAUUGGGCGUAAAGAGCUCGUAGGCGGUUUGUCGCGUCUGCUGUGAAAACUCGGGGCUUAACUCCGGGCCUGCAGUGGGUACGGGCAGACUAGAGUGCGGUAGGGGAGACUGGAAUUCCUGGUGUAGCGGUGAAAUGCGCAGAUAUCAGGAGGAACACCGGUGGCGAAGGCGGGUCUCUGGGCCGAUACUGACGCUGAGGAGCGAAAGCCAGGGGAGCAAACGGG